UGGGGAAUAUUGGACAAUGGGCGAAAGCCUGAUCCAGCCAUGCCGCGUGUGUGAAGAAGGUCUUCGGAUUGUAAAGCACUUUAAGUUGGGAGGAAGGGCAGUAAAUUAAUACUUUGCUUUUUUGACGUUACCGACAGAAUAAGCACCGGCUAACUCUGUGCCAGCAGCCGCGGUAAUACAGAGGGUGCAAGCGUUAAUCGGAAUUACUGGGCGUAAAGCGCGCGUAGGUGGUUUGUUAAGUUGGAUGUGAAAGCCCCGGGCUCAACCUGGGAACUGCAUUCAAAACUGACAAGCUAGAGUAUGGUAGAGGGUGGUGGAAUUUCCUGUGUAGCGGUGAAAUGCGUAGAUAUAGGAAGGAACACCAGUUGCGAAGGCGACCACCUGGACUGAUACUGACACUGAGGUGCGAAAGCGUGGGGAGCAAACA
RNAcentral lists this ribosomal RNA (427 nucleotides) under uncultured prokaryote. RNAcentral's name for it is "bacterial SSU rRNA". It matches the Rfam family "Bacterial small subunit ribosomal RNA", at positions 355 to 774 of the family's 1533-position model. The record is from RNAcentral.